Molecule: unclassified non-coding RNA, 513 nt
Filed under: Hevea brasiliensis (rubber tree)
Lineage: Eukaryota; Viridiplantae; Streptophyta; Magnoliopsida; Malpighiales; Euphorbiaceae
Source: RNAcentral
AAAAUGGAGGUGCUUAAUGGUGAGUUUUUAAAUCUUGCUUUACAUAUCAUGGAAUAUUACUCUAUGUAGAUGAUUUUGUUUUCCACAUAUUUCAAUGUGAUGUAAGCAUACCUUCGUUUUAUCUGCCACCGUGAACAUGAAUUCUAUGAAUUUCUUGCUCACAUAGUUAACCAGAACUGUUUGCUCUGUAAUCUUUAUACUUCCUCCCAUCCCCAUUGUUUGUUUAUGAAGCAACAUGGAACUUAAUCCAACAGAGCAUUCUGUAAACGCAGCAUUGGUUUUUGUGUAGUCAACUGAUUGAUGGAAUUACUGAAGCUAAUAAUGUUCUCUAUAAUCCAAUUUUGAUUGCAGAUUUUGCAUUUUUUUUUCCCUGAAAGUUGGGAUACUUUGAAAAGUAAUAAUUUCUAAAUAAGCAGAUCUUUGAUAUGGAAAUGGAAAACAUUACAAGUUCUGGAAUGCAUUUCUUCUUAUUUGUAGUUCAAUGACAAAGCAGGAUGGUGGACUUGUUAUUUU